Molecule: ribosomal RNA, 253 nt
Filed under: uncultured bacterium
Lineage: Bacteria
Description: partial 16S ribosomal RNA
Rfam family: Bacterial small subunit ribosomal RNA
Source: RNAcentral
GACAGAGGGUGCAAACGUUGCUCGGAAUCACUGGGCGUAAAGCGUGCGCAGGCGGUUUUGUAAGCCAGAUGUGAAAUCCCCGGGCUCAACCUGGGAAUGGCAUUUGGGACUGCAAGGCUUGAGUGCGGCAGAGGAGACUGGAAUUCCUGGUGUAGCAGUGAAAUGCGCAGAUAUCAGGAGGAACACCGGUGGCGAAGGCGGGUCUCUGGGCCGAUACUGACGCUGAGGAGCGAAAGCGUGGGGAGCGAACAGG